RNAcentral lists this transfer RNA (74 nucleotides) under Solirubrobacterales bacterium. Its description in RNAcentral is "tRNA-Pro". It matches the Rfam family "tRNA". Rfam says of the family: Transfer RNA (tRNA) molecules are approximately 80 nucleotides in length. Their secondary structure includes four short double-helical elements and three loops (D, anti-codon, and T loops). Further hydrogen bonds mediate the characteristic L-shaped molecular structure. tRNAs have two regions of fundamental functional importance: the anti-codon, which is responsible for specific mRNA codon recognition, and the 3' end, to which the tRNAs corresponding amino acid is attached (by aminoacyl-tRNA synthetases). tRNAs cope with the degeneracy of the genetic code in two manners: having more than one tRNA (with a specific anti-codon) for a particular amino acid; and 'wobble' base-pairing, i.e. permitting non-standard base-pairing at the 3rd anti-codon position. Lineage: Bacteria; Bacillati; Actinomycetota; Thermoleophilia; Solirubrobacterales. The record is from RNAcentral. RNAcentral also lists the same sequence under 4 other names.
CGGGGCGUGGCGCAGCCUGGUAGCGCGCACCGUUCGGGUCGGUGAGGCCCCCGGUUCGAAUCCGGGCGCCCCGA